Molecule: ribosomal RNA, 327 nt
Filed under: bacterium ocnta310lb344onp9.8
Lineage: Bacteria
Description: bacterial SSU rRNA
Rfam family: Bacterial small subunit ribosomal RNA
Source: RNAcentral
UACACAUGCAGUCGAACGGUGAAGCAGAGUUGCUCCNNUGGAUCAGUGGCGAACGGGUGAGUAACACGUGAGCAACCUGCCCUUGACUCUGGGAUAAGCGCUGGAAACGGCGUCUAAUACCGGAUAUGAGCUGCGAUCGCAUGGUCAGCAGUUGGAAAGAUUUUUCGGUCUGGGAUGGGCUCACGGCCUAUCAGCUUGUUGGUGAGGUAAUGGCUCACCAAGGCGUCGACGGGUAGCCGGCCUGAGAGGGUGACCGGCCACACUGGGACUGAGACACGGCCCAGACUCCUACGGGAGGCAGCAGUGGGGAAUAUUGCACAAUGGGCG